RNAcentral lists this ribosomal RNA (253 nucleotides) under uncultured bacterium. RNAcentral describes it as "partial 16S ribosomal RNA". It matches the Rfam family "Bacterial small subunit ribosomal RNA", at positions 524 to 776 of the family's 1533-position model. The record is from RNAcentral.
CACGUAGGGCGCGAGCGUUGUCCGGAAUUAUUGGGCGUAAAGAGCUCGUAGGCGGCCUGUUGCGUCCGCUGUGAAAGCCCGGGGCUUAACCCCGGGUCGGCAGUGGAUACGGGCAGGCUAGAGGUAGGUAGGGGAGAAUGGAAUUCCUGGUGUAGCGGUGAAAUGCGCAGAUAUCAGGAGGAACACCGGUGGCGAAGGCGGGACUCUGGGCCGAUACUGACGCUGAGGAGCGAAAGCGUGGGGAGCGAACAGG